CGUAGGGGGCGAGCGUUGUCCGGAUUUAUUGGGCGUAAAAGACUUGUAGGCGGCCACCGCGCGUCGUGCGUGAAAUCUCCCGGCUCAACUGGGAGGGGUCGUGCGAUACGGCGGGGCUCGAGGCCGGUAGGGGGACGCGGAAUUCCCGGUGUAGUGGUGGAAUGCGUAGAUAUCGGGAGGAACACCAGUGGCGAAGGCGGCGUCCUGGACCGGUGCUGACGCUGAGGAGCGAAAGCGUGGGGAGCGAUCCGGAUUAGAUACCCGGGUAGUCCACGCCGUAAACGGUGCGCACUAGGUGUCGGGGGUAUCGACCCCCCGGUGCCGCAGCUAACGCAGUAAGUGCGCUGCCUGGGGAGUACGGCCGCAAGGCUA
Molecule: ribosomal RNA, 372 nt
Filed under: uncultured organism
Description: bacterial SSU rRNA
Rfam family: Bacterial small subunit ribosomal RNA
Source: RNAcentral